UUGUUGGUAAGGUAAAAGCUUACCAAGGCUUCGAUCAGUAGCUGGUCUGAGAGGACGACCAGCCACACUGGGACUGAGACACGGCCCAGACUCCUACGGGAGGCAACAGUGGGGAAUUUUGGACAAUGGGGGCAACCCUGAUCCAGCCAUGCCGCGUGAGUGAAGAAGGCRUUCGUUGUAAAGCUCUUUCAGCCGGAACGAAACGGUUACGGAUAACACCCGUGACUACUGACGGUACCGGAAGAAGAAGCACCGGCUAACUACGUGCCAGCAGCCGCGGUAAUACGUAGGGUGCGAGCGUUAAUCGGAAUUACUGGGCGUAAAGCGUGCGCAGGUGGUUUUGUAAGUCAGAUGUGAAAGCCCCGGGCUCAACCUGGGAACUGCGUUUGAAACUACAAGACUAGAGUGUGGCAGAGGGGGGUGGAAUUCCGCGUGUAGCAGUGAAAUGCGUAGAGAUGUGGAGGAACACCGAUGGCGAAGGCAGCCCCCUGGGUCAACACUGACGCUCAGGCACGAAAGCAUGGGGAGCAAACAGGAUUAGAUACCCUGGUAGUCCAUGCCCUAAACGAUGUCAACUAGUUGUCGGGCCUUUACGGGCUUGGUAACGUAGCUAACGCGUGAAGUUGACCGCCUGGGGAGUACGAUCGCAAGAUUAAAACUCAAAUGAAUUGACGGGGACCCGCACAAGCGGUGGAUUAUGUGGAUUAAUUCGAUGCAACGCGAAAAACCUUACCUACCCUUGACAUGUAUCGAAGCCCGCAGAAAAGCGGGGGUGCCCGAAAGGGAACGAUAACACAGGUGCUGCAUGGCUGUCGUCAGCUCGUGUCGUGAGAUGUUGGGUUAAGUCCCGCAACGAGCGCAACCCUUGUCAUUAAUUGCCAUCAUUUAGUUGGGCACUUUAAUGAGACUGCCGG
Molecule: ribosomal RNA, 914 nt
Filed under: uncultured bacterium
Lineage: Bacteria
Description: bacterial SSU rRNA
Rfam family: Bacterial small subunit ribosomal RNA
Source: RNAcentral